AUUGAACGCUGGCGGCAGGCCUAAAACAUGCAAGUCGAGCGGAGCGGGGGACGGGGGAGUAAUGCCAAGGAAUUUGCCUGGUGGUGGGGGAUAAGGUCCGGAAACGGGCGCUAUUCCCGCAUCUUACCAGAUGAGCUUGGGUCGGAUUAGCGAGUGGGGGGGGUAAAGGCCUACCAAGGGGACGAUCCGUAACUGGUCUGAGAGGAUGAUCAGUCACACUGGAACUGAGACACGGUCCAGACUCCUACGGGAGGCAGCAGUGGGGAAUAUUGGACAAUGGGCGAAAGCCUGAUCCAGCCAUGCCGCGUGUGUGAAGAAGGUCUUCGGAUUGUAAAGCACUUUAAGUUGGGAGGCGUUACCAACAGAAUAAGCACCGGCUAACUUCGUGCCAGCCGCCGCGGUAAUAC
This 407-nucleotide ribosomal RNA is filed under the name uncultured bacterium. RNAcentral describes it as "partial 16S ribosomal RNA". It matches the Rfam family "Bacterial small subunit ribosomal RNA", at positions 30 to 526 of the family's 1533-position model. The record is from RNAcentral.